UUCAAUCUGGACAGAGUACUGCAGGUUCAGAUAACUCUGGAUCCGACUCUAGUGAAGUUGCAGAUAAUCUAGCCUUGGUUCAGUUUGAACAUCCUGAAAGGAGCGACGAGAGCUCAGCAAGAAGUCCGGUGCCUGCUGUUCAUCAACCUCCAUCUAGUGUAGCAGUAAGGAAAAGAACCUCUCCACUCUUUUAUUUGGCUAUUCUUUUAUACAAGUUAAUUAUCUGGUUUCAUAGAUAGCAUAACCCAAAUAUAUUUAUAUCCCAACAGGAAGGAAUUAACAGUGAGGAACUCUGUGAACAACUUGACAGAGCAAUGUCAGAGGUUACAAAGGCAAAAAGGGAGGCACUCGAAGAGUUGAUUCGCCGUCAGAAAGCUGAAAAGGCUGCAAUUGAGGCUAAGCGCAAAGUAAAUUUCUUGAUAUGAAAUCUUAGGAUGAUUUCUAUGUUUAAACAUGUUAACACAACUAGGCACCAUGCGUUAUUUUUUUUUUCAAUUUCUAAUCUGGUGGUUGGCAUGACUAGGUUUUAAAUACAGAGCAGUAUAUAUGCGUGAAAAUCUGGGAGUUUUGCCUAGUGCAGUGGAUGUUGAAGAUACUGCAUAAUCAUUUUAGUUUCUAAAUUGUUACCGUCAGUCCAAAUGUGGAUUGGGAAACCUAGAAUAUAGAUAACAGAGUCCGGAAUGUACGGACAAUAAAUUAAACUUAUUUGGAAGAAUAAUUAACCUUUUGAUUCCUUCUCAGUUGGAACUUAAAAAGCAGCAUUGACAUUAAUUUUACCAUUUGAGCAGAGUUUGUCCUUUAUGUUGUAUGUAAUCCUUUUUUUGUCAAGGAUUAAUUUAGAUGAUUUAGAGCUAUUAAAGCAUCCUUCACUGUCAACAAUCUUAUGACUUGCACAAAAUUUUUGGAUACAGUAUGGGAAGUGUUACUUAUUUUCUUGGAUUUUUCCAAUGUCACUGCCUAUUUACAGUUUUGUGCACUUGAGAACUCACGUGCUGAGGAAUCAAGUCAGAGGAUUAAUAAUCUCAAGGAGAUGCUAGAGAAAGAAAGGGAGAGAUGCAAAAUGAUCGAGAAUGAGAGAGAUGACUUGCAAAUGCUGUUCGAAAAUGCACUUAAAGCUAAUGAGGAGCUCUCAGCACACCAAGCUGGUGAACCUUCAAGUUUGAACUCGCAGGAUCAGGAAGUCAUUACCAAGUUUUCUUUCUCAGAAAUUCUGGAAGCUACAGAAAAUUUCAAUCCUUCCUCAAAAAUAGAGGAAGGGGAUUAUGGAAGCACUUACAAAGGUUUUCUUCGUCAUACCCAAGUGAUUAUGAAGAUGAUGUGUUCUGAUAGCUCACAGGGCCCAUCACAGUACCAUCAGGAGGUGAGGUACUCUUAGUUUGAUUGUAUUUCCUCAAAAAUUGCAUACAUGCCAAUUUGAAUGAGAUUAUCUCUGGAUGAUGGUGCUGAAAAAAUUGCGUAAGAAAUCGUUGAUGGCCACCUCAUAGUAAGGACUUUGCGCAUAUCCAUGCCUAUGUGAUUGCUUGAAACUUUUAAAAUUGUAAAUUUGCCUGGACAUUUGUCUUUUGUUGUUUUAUUCGUGCAGAAGUCAAAGAGAUUCAAGAUCAGAUGAAUAUGAAUAUAUUUAUUAGAGAAAUAUAAUUACACAGGCUUUACUCAAUUUUCCAUUUUAUUUACUGAGAUAUUGAAGUAGGCACUCAUGUCAUUCUGGGCUGCUAUUUCAGCUUCACAUUGCAAGCAUGUUGAGGCAUCCAAAUUUGGUCACCCUUAUUGGGGUUUGCCCAGAAGCCUGGGCUCUCAUCUACGAGUAUCUCCCAAAUGGUAACCUUGAAGACCGGCUAAACUGUAAAGAUAACGCUGCCCCACUAUCAUGGCAAACGAGGAUACAGAUAUGUAGAGAUACAUGUGCUGCACUUAUUUUUUUGCACUCCUUCAAACCUCAUGGGAUAGCUCAUGGUGAUCUGAACCCCCAGAAUAUUCUUCUUGAUGCCAACUUCGUGGCUAAACUGAGCAACUUCGGAUUGCGUGACGCAUCUUUCAGUUCCCAUACAACAGGAGACUUUUCUGCUGAGUCAGAUGUUUAUUCAUUUGGGGUCGUACUAUUGCGGUUGCUUGUUGGUCAAGCAGCAUUUAAUUUAGACGAGAUUGUGCAAACUGCGUUGGAUGCUGAAGAGUUAGAUACUGUGUUGGAUCAAAUGGCAGGGCCAUGGCCACUUGAGCAGGUCACAGAGCUGGCACGCCUAGCUUUGGGUUGCUGUGGGAUGGAUAUUAGCAACCAACCAGAUCUUCAGUCAGAGGUGUGGCCGCUGCUUGAACAAAUCCAAACACUAUGUGAGCAAGCGCCAUCAUCUGAUCGUUCUUCAGGAGUUACUCGGCAAUCCUGGUCAUCUGAUCGUUCUCCUGGUGAAGAGCAUACCCAGCCUCCUUCGUAUUUCCUCUGUCCAAUAAAACACGUAAGUUGCUACUUCUGUCGUUCUGUGGUAGUCAUUGACUAUGCUCGUUUUCACAAGCCGAACAGAGCUGGAAAGCACGUGCUCCCCUUAAUUAUCGUACAGGAGAAAAGGCAACGGAACUUGUCACACCGGUUUAGCUUGAUACAUCAGUAACAGAACUUGUCCUGGCACCUUGUGAUCCAAUUCAUGUAUAGCAGCACAGGUUCAACGUAACCUAGCUGUUUUGAAUUCUUGAAAAGAGUAUUAAGUCGACAAUGCUUUUUGGCAGGAGAUUAUGGAAGACCCUCUUGUGGCAGUGGAUGGCUAUACAUAUGAGGCGGAGGCGAUAAGGGAGUGGCUGGACGGCCACAACACCUCGCCCAUGACGAAUCUUCCACUCGAUAACCUACAUCUCGUGCCGAAUAGGAUUGUUCGGUCGGCAAUUCAAGAAUGGCUUCAGAUCAAUGAAAGCUAGUGUGGCUGUCAAACAGCAAAAUCUAUGUACAGUUAGUGCUGCUCCGGUGGGUUUUCUUGUACAUAUACACAGCAGCAGGAGUGAUAUACGUAAGAGCAUACGCCCGUGAGUAAUGCACGAGGUUAUGAUAGUAAUUUCGUGUGAGCAGGCCUGUUUUUGUUUAUGCUUAGUCAAAAGCAAAAAGUAAUUUUUCACUUCGCGGUCGAAAUUUAAAAUGUCAUCUAAAUUUCAGAAAACCAUGAGAUAAAUUAUGUGCUGCUUGACAUGUCGAUAUUUGCAUUAGGAAAGUGCAACCAAACCGGUUUUACCUAGGAAUUGAACCGGAGUGCCCAAAAAAUAGGCCUGGGAAUCGGUUUUUAUUGGAAGCAAGUUUCAAGUGAAUACCCAUCCAAGAUUCAGAUUGGACCACCUUAUUUUGGAACUGGUUUCAGAAUUAGUUUUAUAAGCUAAAAGGGCAAAAUCCUAAUUUCUUUUUCCCUUAAAUUCUAAUCUAAGCACUCGUUCGUCUUUUAUCCUUCGUCGGAACUCUUUGCCAGUUUUUCUUCUUCUCCUAAAUUUUUAUAAAUUAAUGGGGAAUAAAAUUUUAUAAUUUAUGUUUUAUGCUAGGUGUUUGAACAUUUUAUCAUUCGUAAUUGUACGAAACUGCAUAUUCUUCUUAUGAAUUGUUUUUUUUAAUGAAUUUUGUUGUUCAUCUUUUAUUUUGAAUUAUUUCAUUACUCAUAGCCUCAUAUAAUUUGUUGUAAAAGAUGGACCAAGAAAAGGAACAAAAAAAAUAAAAAUAAAUUCUCAAGUAGACCCGAACCAGAAAAACAUGAUAGGUUCCAAAAUUAAUUAUAGGUACAAGGAGUAGGUUUCAGGGUUCAAAAAUUGGGAACUGGUUAUAAUCUUGAAUCCACUCAUUUUGAAACUCAUCACCCUUAAUUUACAUACUAUCGAUUCAAGAGUUUCGAAUUUUGACAAAUCAAAUAUGUGUAAUGUAACCGCCCAAGGCCUGACAAAUCAACUUGUUGACUAGGUAGCAUUAAUAUUGAUAAGUGACACGCAACACAAUACGACACAACACGACACGCUAACACGUUGUUUCUCAAAAAGUAAAUAAUUCCGAUACGUUAUGACACACCGUGUGUGUUAUAUGUUUUUAUGAUUAUUUUAAUCAAAUUAAUUUGAUUCAAAUUCAUAAAUAAAUAAAUAAUUAUAAAAGCCUAGAAUGAAUUUACACUAAAAACAUUAAUCCACAAUUUAUUAAUAUUAUUCAUUAUUUCAAGAGUUAAUACUCUAAAAAACACCAAAUUUGUACACAUAUAACAAAUUUACCAAAAAUUAAUUAUUUUACCAUGAAAAAUCCUAAACUGGUAUAUCCAUGACAAAUUCAUCUAGACUAAUCAUAAAAAAUAUUAAACUAGUACAUUUGUGACAUAUUUAUCCAAAACUAAUUUAUUCGACAGCCAAAAAUCAUAAACUGAUACAUUUGUAAUAAAUACACCGUCCAUUAAAUUAUAUUAAUACCAUAAAAAAUCACAAAUUGCAUAACUUUAGCAAACGGAUAAUAAAAUCUUAAAUUUGUAUAUCAGUCAACUGUCAAAUGUCAUUCAACUUAGUAAUUUGAUAGUAAAAUUUAACGGAAACUAAUAAAGAGUAAAUUUGUCACAAAUAUACUAGUUUAAGGUAAAUUUGUCAAAUGUGUACUGGUUUGGGUUUUUAAUGCUCAAAAAAUUAAUUUAUGGUAAAUUUGUCACAAGUGUACCAAUUUAAGAUUUUUCAAGGUAUUAACCCUUAUUUCAAUUUGACAAAUUCAAUUUCAUUUCAAUAAUACAUAAAACUUAGAAGUUAAAAACAAGCAAUUCACAUUCUCGAUUUGCAUGGAAGAGAAAAAAAAAACUUCGGGAGUGAAUUGUGUAUCACAGAAAAUGAGAAUCAUAAGAGAAGGGAAAAUUAUGUUUUUAUUCUUUUCUCAUUUAUUAUUAUUAUAUUUUUGGUAAAGGUAUAUAUAUAUAUAUAUUGUGAUCCCCUAUUUAUUGAAAAAAUUUAAAAUUAACUUUGCGUGUCAGAAUCACAUAUCAAAAACUUAUAUGUUGGAAUUAAAAGUGUUGAGAAAGUUAAUCAAAUAUCGAAUUUUUUAACAUAUGUUAACCAAGUGUCGAAAAGUGUUUUCAACACAACACAAAGGCUUCUACAAAGUCUUGGUGCUUCAUAGCUUAUUGAUGACUUGAUGCGACAUGAGGCCUGACAAUUUGACUCGUUGAUGGCUUUUGAGCUUCUCUCAACGACAUUAUUAUAUUUUUCCCUCUUUCAUUAACCUUUUGUGAGUAAAUAAUUCUAACCUAUUAAAACGAAUACAUUGGUUGCUUUGGACACACUUGAGCCCAAAUUGGAUAACACCGUGUACUUAAAAAGAAAAGAACUAAAGGAUACUAAAAGUAUCAUAAAUUGUAUACAACAUUUAUCUUAGUAUCAAAAGUUUUUGACGAAUUACUUAAAUGCAACUUUCUAAAAAGAACAAUCUUUUAAGCGCCGACUUUGAUGUAGGUUUCAAAAAAUCCGACAUUGCCAUAUAUUAUGAAUUUCUUAAAUUGACAUGGCUUGCUGGUGUGCCUGGUAAAUAUUUAAUCUUUAAACAAUGUCAUAUACUAGACUUUCCCUAAAUUAAAGCAUUAAAUCGCCAAAUUGAACCAAAUUUCUAGAUUUGAAACCAUAUAUGCCAAUGAAUUGAAAAUCAACACCCCAAUUUGGUUUGCCCUUAAAAUUAAUCGCUCAAUUAUGCUAACGGAGAGCAAGAGCUUCAUGAGUAGCUCAAAUUUGUUUCAACAAAGCGAAGAAGAAGGUGAGUUUAUAUUAUUGUGGGCUACCGAGUCCAAAAAGAAACCUCGUAAGCCGACAGCCAGUGAGCAAACUCUGGAGGAGCGACUGCAGGACCCACCACCACAGUACUCCAGGUAAUAAUCCCUAACAACGCCUCUGGAAUUCGAACUCUUCCCCUUUGUGAGGGGGAGAGAGCCCUAAGCCAACUGCGCCGCUGCGGGCGAUGGUUAAGUUUUAUAUUAUUGUGGGCUACCAAAUCCAAAAAUAAUAUCUUACACUCAGACUAAUCUCAGGAGAAGAGAUGUGCUAUGUAUAGAGAAUGCUUGAAGUGCAAAUAUAUCAUAUGAGUAGAUGCAAAAUUCUUAGGUUGAGAACACAAGUGAUGUUAGAGUUACUUGAAGGAUGACAUCAACUUCCACUAACAUAAACGGAUGAGUUAGAGGAUGCCAAUUCAAUACAAGCAGAAAAUGAAGGCUUGAGCAGCUCUCACCAACCAUUUGAAAUCAGAAGUUUUAAGAAUAAAAAGUGAAAAAAAGUGUUAUCGAGCGUUGAUUUAUGCUUAAAUGUAAAGUAGGUAAUGAGAAAGAUCAAUGGAAUAUGUAAUUGCAUUAGGGUAAUUUGUAAAUUUAAUUGUGUUGUUGGUUUGCUAAUGUUGGUUUGUUGCACUUUUGGUGGAAAUGUGACUGGAAUUUAGUUAAGCAAGGGUUGUUUGCCGUGUGUAAUUUGUAAAUUUAACACGAGCUUAUGGUAGUAAUUUUGUUUGAGCAAGAAUGCUUGUUUACGGUUAAGACAAUAUAACAAAAGGUAAUAUUUCAUUUUUCUAUCAAAAUUUAAAAUAAGGUUAAUAUUACAAAAACUUCAAAUUAUACUCACCGUGAUAUAAAUAUCUUGGACUUUUUAAACUUUUCCACCGUGAUGCAAAUAUUCUUAAAUUUUUUUUUGUAUCACGAAAAAACCCAAGGUUUUUGGUAUAAAAAAAAUUGAGUAUUUGAGUUACAAUGGACAUUGUUUGAGAUUUUUUUUUUGUUUGUGAUAUCUACCCUUUAAAAAUACUAUCUAGAUUUCAGAAAAAAAAAAUAAGACAUAAAUUAUGUGCUGCUCUACGUGGGAGUUUGAAUCUUGACAAAUAACAUCCGCGCAACGCAACCACACAGGGACCAAAAAAUGGACUUGUCGAUGACUUGCCACGUGGCAGCACAGUACGAGGUCUAACGAUCUGGCUAGCCGAUAGCUCGCCGCAUGGCAUUCGAGCUAUUCCUUUUUUAUUUCCUUUUCCCCCUUUUCAUUAACCUUUUGUGAUUAAAUAAUUCAGGCCUAUUAAAAAAAUACGCCAUCUCCUUUGGACGCACUUGAGCCCAAACUGGAUGAGAGCCCAACGUACUUACAAAAUAAAAAGGGGGAGGGAGGCAAAGAACCAUCUCAUCAACGAAGUAGGCCCACGCGUACAAGCCCCCUAUUUUAGCUUUUUGUAGUUUAUUAUUUUAAUGAGAUUUAAAGGAAAAUUAAUUUUAAAAUGUCACGUCAGCAUUUUCCGUUAGACAAAUUGAUAGUAUGAACCGAUGACUCAAUUGUACCAAUUUUACAAGUUUUAAGACUUGAUUAUAUUUUUUGAAAGUUUUAUGACUUGAUUGCAUUUUUUACAAUAAGUUUUAAAAUUUAUAGUGUACAUAUCCCUAAAAAAUAUGUAAAGUUGUUUGUAUGAAAAGCAAGUGAAACUAAUAAAAAUAGCAAUGACUUUGCAAGAAAAGCAUGAACGAUACCUAUUUUGCAAGAGCAAUUUUUAUCUCAUUUAAUGAUGCAUGGUUGACUUUGAUGAUGUAAAUGAUAGAUGAUGCUUUAAAUGAUCAUGCAUUUUUUGACAUGGCGCUUUAUGUGAUUAAAUAGCCGUAAGUUUAGGAAAUAUUUAAGAAUGCUACUAAUUUUUGAGGAAAAUGUAUUUGUUUCCUUUAGAUUUUUUUUUUUUCAGUUAUUCUUAAACUUUCAACUCAUUCUCAAACUUUUAUCCUGACUUUUUGCAGGACAUAAAAAUGGAAACUCAUAUCUAAAGCUAAUUGUUCUUACUCCAACUCUCUUAGAGAAAGUAGCAAUUCGAAUACCCUAGCUACCCCUUUUGAUAUGAGAAAGGAUAUGCGACCUUGUUUAUUAAGAUAGAAUUACUUUCUUUUUAAUUGAGGAAAUAGUCCACUUUAAUGUGGUUUUUUUUUCUAUAUUUGAUUAUUGUAGUGAAAAAAGAAAUGUGAAUCUUUUAUUUUAAAUUUGUUACUAUGUUCACGUUACAUUAUUCUCAACAUUCAAAUGGUAAAAGUUGUUGAUCAUUGUUUUUUCCAAUUCUAAACAAAUUAAAAGUUAAAAAGCUUCAAGACUUUUCGAAACGUGUUUUCACUACAUGGUCUCUCACUUUCUCUCAAACUUAUUUCCAAAAUAUACUUUUCAAUCACGAUCUAUCCAAAAACUUUUACAUUUCAGGAAGACCUUUAGGUAAAAAUCCGUUGUGUUUUAUGCAAAGUUCUUUUUCUCAUAGACUUUUUCAGAUGCUGCCAAAUACCCCAAAAAAAAAAGUGAUCAUGCAAAUUGUGAAAGGGAAUAAAUCAAGACUCAUUUUCCAACUUUUUGUGAUCCACUAAAAGGAAAAAGACCACGUUAGAUUUUAUACAUCCCCAUUGAUCAAAUCGAGCUAUCUUUACGCUUGUAGUUGUCCCGAUAUCCUUGUCAUAUAGAGUCAAGUAGUGGCCGAUCAUAAAAAUUGUCCAUAUUAUAUAAUUCUUCCUGACUACUCUCCGCUACAAAAUCACAUCUUUUUUCUUAAUUUUCAAUUUUACUAACAUUCAAUUGAUGGUUUUAUGGGAAUAUUACCAACCAAAUACACGCUGACGUGUGCAGUGGAGAACCGACAUUCCGACAUGUUUAAAAUCGAGAAAGGACAUAUGACCAAAAAAAAAAAAAAAUCGAGAAAGGACAGAGAAAUUCUGCAAGCGGCCGCCCCAUUGGCAACGCGACCAAGACUCUUCGCCAAGAAGGAACUCCUUUCGUCCCAAGUUCUUCUUUACUUGCUAGACCUCGCUUGACAAGUCAGCACGAGAGACUGAGAGAGAGAGAGAGAGAGAGAGACAGCAGAAGCAGCUGAAGCUGAGGCGUUUAUUCGUUGCUGGGCUCUUCCCAUUCCGUUCGGUACGCACGCCGACGCGCUCGCCGGGGGGGAACCGGCGGCGAUCCGAUCGUCGUCCGAGCUGGAAGCGCCUUUGACUUGCGGGCGAUGACGAGGGAGGACGAGGGGUCGUCGUCUGGAGCGGCGGCGGGCAACGUGUACGUCGCGGUGGGGAGCGACGGCGCGGAGGGCGAGACGAUGCUCCUGUGGGCGCUGCAGAAGUUCGGGGGCGACUUCAAGUACUGCAUCCUGCACGUCGGGCAGCCCGGCGGUGAGUUCCAACCCGCUCGGCAAAUUUCCUGUGUGUCCCGUGAGCUGGAAAAGAUGCUUCUUUUUGGAUAUUUUUUUUUAGCUUCGUCUCUGUUUCUGCUGUUGGAUCUCUUCUGGGUCGGUCGAAAUUAGGGAGGAGCAUACAGUACCGUCCGGACCAGACCGGACUAGCCGAUUUGGUCUGAUUUCAGAGGGUGUCGAUCUGAUUCCGAAUUUCAUAAAAAUGGAAUGGGUGAUCUUCAGUCCAGUUACCGGUUCCGGACGGGACCAACUUUUAAGAAAAAAAAAAAUAUAUAUAUAUAUAUAUAUAUAUAUAUAUAUAUAUAUAUUAAGUUCUUAAACAUAGCAAUAAACCUUCAAAUUGUAAUAAUUCUAGUAUUUUUUUUAUUUUUAAAUUUUUUCUAAGUGGUCGGUUCCAUUGGCCGGCUGAUUCUUGUUUCUAGGACUGUCCAAUCGGUUCUGGUCCCAAAAAAUGGAACCAGUCCUCCUGAUUGGGAUCUCGGUUUCUAAGUCGAACCAGACUGGAUCGGAAAUCAAUUACCCCUAGUCAAAAUUAGAGGGUAUGGAGUUCAAGUGCGAUGGGCGAAGUAAAUUUACAAUGCGGGCAUUAGCUGUCGACCUUGAACCCCGAGCUCUUUGUUCAUUUAUAAAUACAUUAUUGACGAGACGAAACCGUCAAGCGAAUUUCAUUGCUUGAAGAAGUGCUCGCUACGCAUAACGGCAUUUGGACAUGUGUAGGAGUUGGAGACUGCUGUAAAAUGGACUUUUUUGUAGCAUAUUUGGGCUGCAUUUAAUCAUUUUUGUGAACAAAACUUUCUUGCUUACUUAGCUAAAAAUAAAAGUAAUGGGAUAGUAGAUAUGGAUAUGGCAGUUUGGAGAAUGAUCUCUCUGCAGUUUCUUGGGGCAGAUGUCUGCUGGUAGUGGAGAUAAUGUCGAUUUGGUGAAAAACUCUGUUCGAUUUUCUUGCAUGUAAAAGUGAUCGCGGGUUUUUUAUUAUGUGUGCAAACUAUUAGGCCUCAUUUAAAUAAUAUGAUGAUAACAAAAGGCAUCAUGUUAGUCUUCAUCUCAAAUGCGGUCUUUUUGGCGCGCUUUCAGAGUGAUUCAUGAGAUAAAUAUGCUUUGCUGUAUGUCUAGACUGACCACUAUCGUUCUGUUUAAAGAAAAUGAGAACAGUAUUUUCAUUUUUUGAUUUGCAUUGCUAGUAGUCUUUGUAGUUAGUACUUUUUCCUUCUGCAGUAAUUUUCAACAGAAUUUUUUCUUUGUUUGCAAUUCGUGAAAUCUCCUCCAGAAUUGGCAAGGAAGAAUACGCACAAGAUUCUGGAUGCAUGCAUUCAAAUGUGUAACGACGAAAAGGUUCGUUUCUGAAACUGGUUUAUUUCUUUGUCGGCAGAUUUAUAGGAAUAGAUUAAUCUCGCGCUACAUUCUAAAAAAAGAUUAGGCUUUCAGGAUGCAGUUAUGCAUUGAGAUUCUUUGCGUUUGCAAUAAAGUAGAAAAGGAGGGAUAAGUGCCCCAAAAAUCUAAAAACUUAUCAUAAAAAUAUAAUUGAGUCCUAAAACUUUUUUAAUAGUUCAAUCAAGUUGAAAAACUUGUCAAAUUGGUGCGUUUAAGUCCCUCUAUUUAAUCCAUCUAAUUUAGUUAAUGGAAAAUAUUGACGUAGUUUUUUUUAAUUACUUUCCGUGGCGCCGAUAUGGCACCCAUGAAGCGCCACAUCGAAAAAUUCUCGAAUGGUAGAGGAGACUUCAUUGUUGUAGCUACUUGAAGGAGUUGUAGAUUAAAAGAGCUCUCCAUGGAUCCAAUUUGUCACGCCGAAAAACAAGAUCAACCAAUGUCAAGUCAUCUUUGUUUUCCUGAUUGCCACCACCGUGUGACAUGGAGAGUGACUGCAAUCUGAAAAGAAAAAAUGAUACAAUAAGCCACAUCAGUUUUUUCCUUUAGCCAAAUCAAAUAGAGUUAACAGAGGGACUUCAUUGCACCAAUUUGACCAGGUUUAAGAUUUUAUUGCACUAUUGAAAGUUUUAGGACCCGAUUGUACUUUCUUGACAAGUUUUUGGACUUCUAAUGCGCUUACCCUAAAAAAAAAAAUAGUAAACUCUCAUUUAUUGAGCUUAUAUGAAAGACAAGACAUUUUCUUUUGAUCUCGAAAUGAUUGUCUUGACUUCUCAGUGGACUCCAUUACCAUUGGUUCCUUUGGAUUGAAUGGUUUAGAAAAUUUAAACUAGUGAGGUAGAAUGAUUUCUGUCAGCACUCUUUUUGUAGAUGAGAACAUUUUGAUAUUGAGAAGGUUUGCAAUCAUAUCUAAGUGGAAAUUGUGGUCAAUUAUGCAUUGACAAAUCCUGAUGAGAGUACACCAUUGGGAAGUUUCUGAAAGCAAAUCCUUUGCUAGAAUAUUUUCCUUCCAGAUUGUCAUUACUUAUUAUGCCACCAUGAACGGAAUCUUGAGAAUGAAUACAAUUAAAUUGGCGGAAGCAUUAUUAUUGUUACUUAGUCCUAAUUUUUGUUACUUGUGCUUCCCAAAUGCUGCUUAAUUUUCCAGGUUUUUUCGAUGAAAUUAUAUGCUGAGAUGCAGGAUGUAAGACAAGGGAUUGUAGAACUUGUCGAGCAGCAUUGCAUCAGGAAGCUCGUUAUGGGAGCAGCAGCAGAUAGACACUACAUUGAGUAAUAACUUAUGGCUUAUCUGUAUUCGCAACAGUGGACUGAUUAAGGCUCUUUGAAUUAUGGACUUAAUGGAGGGUUUUGUUUUGAGAUGCAAUGUUUUCUUCACUUGGCUGGUGUCACUGAUGCUUUAACGCAUGCAAAAUCUUGGACAAAUGCUGCAUAGGUUCUCGUAUUCUGAUGAAUGAGUCAGUAAAUGCGCAGAAACCAUUGCAUUGCAAAUGUUUUCUGCCCCUAGAUUCUAAAUAACUAAUAUGUCUAACGAAGUGGCUAGAAAGAGAUCAAUUUGUGAGUUCUUUUUAUCCAUUGAGUGGAUGGUUUGGCUAGUUGUUUGUUUUUAAUCCUUUUUCUUACCACUGCUAAUGGUAAAAGUCUGCCUGUUUUAGAGGAUGGCUACUUAGCUCAAGCUCUCGUGUUACUUGAUGUAAUUAUGGAGUUGACUACAAAAUGUUUUGCUGAGAUGAAUGCUAUAUUUUCAUUCCUUUAUUGAAAUAAAUAUUGAACCUGUAGGGGCAUGGCACAGCUUAAAUCUACAAAAGCAAUGUUUGUGAACCAGCAUGCUCAUCCAUCCUGUGAAAUUUGGUUUAUCUGCAGAGGCAAUUUUGUUUCCUUGAGGUAUGCAUAACCAUGCUGAACUUUCACUGCCAUACAUUUAGGUAUCUUGUAGAGUUGAGCAGUCAAGCUGUUCACAUUUUCUUUCAACGCAUUUGAUUGUGGUGCUUUAUUAAUAAUUUUUUGGCAUAAUGUCCAACAUGGUAUCGGAAAUCAGGUCUUUGAGCCCCAUUUCCUGUCCCAUUGGCUUAUGGGGAUGAAUCGAGGGCUUAGAAUCCAUCUCUAUGUUUCUUGAAAGUGCUAAGAUCGAUUUCGUAUUAUUGACCAAACUUCAUGAGUUUUAAAUUUUUUCCAGAAGAAACUUAUGAGUCAACUCUGUGUAUAAAUUUAACACCUGACUCUAAGUAAGGCCUCACGUUGAUUUUGUCAGAGAUAGUUGCUGAAGUUUAUUCUACAACUUCGGCCCAACUCAAAGUGAAUAUGUCAUAAAGCUAAUGCAAAUUGCUAAACCUGAAUGUCAGGGAAAGUUGUUCAAGUACCUCUUAUCCAGUGAGGUCCCAUGUUCAAUCUGGACAGAGUACUGCAGGUUCAGAUAACUCUGGAUCCGACUCUAAUGAAGUUGCAGAUAAUCUAGCUGCAGAUAAUCUAGCAUUGGAAGGUCCUGAAAGGAGCGACGAGAGCUCAGCAAGAAGUCCGGUGCGUGCACCUCCAUCUAGUGUAGCAGAUAAUCUAGCCUUGGAAGGUCCUGAAAGGAGCGACGAGAGCUCAGCAAGAAGUCCGGUGCGUGCACCUCCAUCUAGUGUAGCAGAUAAUCUAGCCUUGGAAGGUCCUGAAAGGAGCGACGAGAGCUCAGCAAGAAGUCCGGUGCGUGCACCUCCAUCUAGUGUAGCAGAUAAUCUAGCCUUGGAAGGUCCUGAAAGGAGCGACGAGAGCUCAGCAAGAAGUCCGGUGCUUGCACCUCCAUCUAGUGUAGCAGAUAAUCUAGCCUUGGAAGGUCCUGAAAGGAGCGACGAGAGCUCAGCAAGAAGUCCGGUGCCUGCACCUCCAUCUAGUGUAGCAGAUAAUCUAGCCUUGGAAGGUCCUGAAAGGAGCGACGAGAGCUCAGUAAGAAGUCCAGUCAUCAACCUCCAUCUAGUGUAGCAGUAAGGAAAAGAACCUCUCCACUCUUUUAUUUGGCUAUUCUUCUAUAAAAGUUAAUUAUCUGGUUUCUUAGGUAGCAUAACCCAAAUAUAUUUAUAUCCCAACAGGAA
This 13572-nucleotide long non-coding RNA is filed under the name Eucalyptus grandis. RNAcentral describes it as "long non-coding RNA (EGRA_LNC002472)". Lineage: Eukaryota; Viridiplantae; Streptophyta; Magnoliopsida; Myrtales; Myrtaceae. The record is from RNAcentral.